UGGUGUGUGUGUGUGUGUGUGUGUGUGUGUGUGUGUGUGUGUGUGUGUGUGUGCACUUAUCCAAAUUUCUCAGCAGAGUAAAGACUACCAUAUGAACUGCUCAUCACAGCUUCGUCAUUGCAAUUCUUUCCAAGAUCCAUAUUUCUGAGUAUGGAUACUGGGAGAUCUCACUUCUGGUUCUUACUUGCCAUGUCCAUUUUUCUUCAGAUCAUCAAUUUCUCAUUGUCUCUACUCAGGACACUAGGCUUUUCCUGACCAACUUAGCCAGUCUGUUCUUCAUCUUUUUUUCCAUGCCUUCACUGUUCUUUUAAUGUUCUUAUUAUUAAUAAAUUAUCUCAUUCAUGGACACCAAUUCUUAUUGCCCCCUUUCAGCCCAACUGAACUGUGAGCUACUGGAAUGAUUCAUAUUGCUCUCAAUUGUAUUCCCAAACCUGGUGAGAAAUCACCAUUCUAGUUACAAUUCACUAAACUUGUUCCCAUUCACCAGUUUAACCUUAAUGAAGAUAUACAUUGUGAGCAAUCUUAGCAAAUGACAUAAUAGCUUCAAGUGUGCCACCAUUUGAUAGUAGAGUAAUGGUCAAUAGGAAAACCACCAUUGUGUCCCCAGAGCAGUACAGACUAUGUCUAACCCAUGUAGUAGGCUGCACCAGGAGGUCACACACUGCAAAGUCUCUUGAGAAACUAUGAAAAUGAGGUAGCAGAGUUUCCUUCAUCUGUAUGGCUACUGCUGAUAGUGGCUAUGCACACAGGAAUACAGUACCCCUGGGAUCUUUGGCAAGCAACUGGGUCAUAUGAAAGACCCUUCUGUGUCGCCUUUCCUGAGUGUCAAUCUUUAAUUUAGAAGAAAAGAAAAUUACAGCUCUUUUAUUCAUCUGUAUUAAAAUUUAUGGAGCAGGGUGGUUUCCAGGCUGCUGUUUCUGCCGGGCACUGCUCUGAUGAUGUAUGCCUGUGACAUGUCACCAGCCUAGCUGGGCUCUGAUGAUCCAUUGCAGCAACAAGUCAUUUGUCAUACAUCACUCCCUGGACAGCUGCCCCGAUCUGAGCCUCUACUGCGUAUUCCUGCAGGGAGCCCUGGCUCAAAACAAGUUCCAUGUUCUUGUACUCCCACGGGCUUCUCUUUACCCCUGUAUUUCUUACUGUUUGUAGGAGAAAUGAAAAAUAAUGGUUAAUAGCAAAUUCCGGUGGGGUAUUUUCAGACUUUGAAUGCUCUGAGGCCCACCAGUGAUGAUAAUGGUUGGAGGGUGCCUGAAUGGUCUCAGAAUAUCUCAGGGCUAUAAGAAGUCACCCUUAGCCAGGCAUUCUUCAGAAGGGUUUGCAUGUUUUACUAUUAAAUCCACCAUGAGUCCUGUAAGGGGGAUUAUAUUCCUUAUCACUUUAAAGAUGAAGGGAAACAUGGCACAGAAAGGCUUGUUUCUCAUUUUCACCUAGAUAAGUCAGAAGAAGCAGGGCCCCGGCCCAGGAAGCUGGGAUUGGAAGCAUUCCUUCUUACUGUUUCUUACAUAAUCUUUUCUGGUUCUUCUCAUAGGCAGAGGCAUCAAGUGACAUGCUGGCUCCUAAGACCAACCAAAUAUUCAGAUAUGCUUCAGAUAUCCUAUUCAAUAAUCAGAAUGUAUGUUAGCGAUUAUUACUAUUAGUCACUCAAAUUCUCUGGUGCCUAUCAAGUGCAUCACUAGUGCUUUCAAAAGUGUUCUGGCUUCAACAGGGUGUGACUCUCUUUGCUUUGUUUCAAAUAAAUGCAUGGAAAGAUGCUGCAGCAUUUUUGUUCUUGAUUGAAAAGAGCAUAGAGCAGAGAGACUCAAUAAGAGGACAGCUAUAAGUUGAAAAUUCAAUAGGUGAUGCAGAAUCAUUUUUCAAGAAAAGCUGAGUGCACUUAAAAUAAGUGAAUCCAGAAUCUACAGAAAUGUCACUCUGUCAGGAUAAAGAGUGUCUUUUGUUCCAAUAAAAAGUACAAAUAAAGAAUCUUUGAAACGUAAAUCAGGAGGCUGGAGAACACAGAUAGUACCUGACAGUAACAGCCAUCUAUGAAACAAUGCUGUUUGAGGAGUUGAAAAGAUGCUGAUUUAAAUAACUUUGAAAGAAAGUUGAACCUUCAAGGCUUGGACAAGGUAACAGAAAGCCUAGAAACUACUAGCUGGAUAUGUCAGAUUACAUCAUAAAGUAGAAAAGGAAAGCUAGGAGAGCAAACUGCAAUGAUUUACUAAACAAAUAAAUGUUGAAGGAUACCAUUCAACGAUAUCAAAGAUGCAGCACUUAGUCCUUGAGAUCAUGGUCUGUAACUAUCCACCCUUUGAGAGGUUUUGCUUUGUUUUCUUUUUUGUUUGUUUAUAUUUGUAUUUUGUUUUCUGUAGGUUACAAUAGAGACUGAGGGGAAAGGAGCAACUUCAUCAUAGAGAAAUUGGAUAACACAGCCUACCUGUGGUGCUUUAAGUUAACAUCAACAAUGAUGAGCAUUGCUUUCAGAAAGUGCUCUUAAUAUGGCAAAUGGUACAGGAGGAUAAAAAUCAAACCCAAAACAAA
Non-coding RNA from Cricetulus griseus (Chinese hamster), 2517 nucleotides. The record is from RefSeq and is a predicted model, not a curated record. Lineage: Eukaryota; Metazoa; Chordata; Mammalia; Rodentia; Cricetidae.